Long non-coding RNA from Equus caballus (horse), 1785 nucleotides. NCBI's taxonomy places the organism in Eukaryota, Metazoa, Chordata, Mammalia, Perissodactyla, Equidae. The record is from Ensembl.
CUUCUCUCAUCUAAUGCAUUUACUACUUCUCUCUUAUAAUUCAUAUCUCGGGAACGAGCACAUAAAUUCUCUGUAAACAGUAGCUGGCGUUUUACCACCGCGCAGCCAAAUAAAAAGCACUCAUGGAAAAGUUCUUUGUAUCUGAACUAUGGUCUUCAGAAGAGAUGCCCGUGGAUGCUUAGUUGAAGAAUACUUUAUGUUCCUCCACAUACUCGAACAACAACGACAACGACAACAAAAGACUCUUUUGAUUUGUGUUUUAUUUUCUGGGGGCAAUUUUAACUCUCCAAGCAAUCUGAGCAACUGCAGAAUUUCUUAUUAAAAGUUACUUAAAAUAUAAUAAAUUAAAAAUGGUACUGCUCUGAUUAAAUAUCUAAAGAACCUCAAAUAAUCCUUGUAUUUUGCUAUUCACUUAAGCAGAUGAAGACUGCCUGUUUAGUCUUUUAUAGGAUAGCAAAAGGCUCCUGGGCUCUGACUGAGGCACGCUGACUGGGAAAACAUGAUUUCUGAAGACGCACUGUAUAUUGACAUUUUCUCUGCCCACAUUCCAUGUUGUCUACUGGAAAUGUCCUCCUAUUAACGUUUACGCAGAUGGGACACACCGCUGUAGGAAAGGAGAGAGCUUUCAAGAUCAUCUAGCCAUUUUUUAUAUAAAAAGUGACCGAGGUGCACAGACAUGCAGAGAUUUGUCUGGACACACACAGUGGUGAUGUCAGGACUUCCACCAGCACCCUGACUCUCUGUCCAGUGCUCUUUCUAUUUGCGUGGCAGUACGGAGUCCAACAGAGAAAUAUCUAAAAUGCCUCCUCCAGCCUCCAUCCCUAAUUGGGGAUGUUAUUUACAAAUGGGAAAUUGGGAGCAGUCCAGUAUGAUUAGGAAAUGAAGAUGUUUCUUUUAAGAUCAUGUGAAAAUGUUUUUAUAUAUUGAAACAGAAACAUCAAAAUUCAUUAAGAACAAAGCUCUGGCAUAUUAAUCUGUCUGCCAGUUCUCAGCCUAGUGUGAAUUCAUCUGCUUGGGGAAAAAACAAGAGUAAUAGAAGUUGAUAUCUCAAACUACAACAAAAGUUGCCACAAGACUUGUAAACAGAACACAAUUUGCAGGGGCUUCCUAAAUCAAAUUGGAACUGAAGGAGACCUUUAAGCAGCCCACUGAUGCUCUGCCACCCGCUGAACCUGCUGGGAGCACUUGGUGGCCUCAAGUUGGCAGAGUUUUUAUGAUCUCACUCCUCUUUCUCUCCUGCCUCACAAUACAUGAAAGUAUAUUAUUUCUGCCAGCCUAAAAUUUAGCAGUUUAUCAAUUACAUAGAAGUUAGAAAUUAUGAAAUACGAUCUUGAUAUAUCAAGCCGAUUGUUUUUGCAGCCAGCUGCUUCACUGAGUGCAGAACCACUCAGUUAUUCCAAUGCUGAUUGUUUUUUCUCACAUGUUAAUAAAAAUCCCAAAUAUUCUGGAGGAGAUAACGCUGAGUAGUGAGACACAGAGCACUAAAGGAAAGUUUUAACUGCUAAUAUUUAAAGUUUUUCUUUGGGAAAAACAUGGAAAAGUGAAAUGAUUUCUGAUUUGUAUAACACUUAAGUGCAUUUUGCUUGCCUUUUAGGCAAUUUAUUCCACUUAGCAUGCAAAAGCAUGUAUUAUCAUAAAUUAAAAUGAUUUUAAAAGAUGGAAAACUAGUGCAAAAAAGCAAUCCUUUAAAAAUGCACACACGAUUCUAGAGCAUUUAGAAAGACAAUUUUGGAAAUUUAAAACUAACAAGCUUUGUGUUAAUAGUGGUAUAAGCCUAUAAACCUG